Molecule: transfer RNA, 71 nt
Filed under: Candidatus Brocadiales bacterium
Lineage: Bacteria; Pseudomonadati; Planctomycetota; Candidatus Brocadiia; Candidatus Brocadiales
Description: tRNA-Gly
Rfam family: tRNA
About the family: Transfer RNA (tRNA) molecules are approximately 80 nucleotides in length. Their secondary structure includes four short double-helical elements and three loops (D, anti-codon, and T loops).
Source: RNAcentral
GCGGGUAUAGUGUAAUGGUAGCACAGCAGCCUUCCAAGCUCCUGGUUCGAGUUCAAAUCUCGAUAUCCGCU